UCUCUUACAUUAUUAAACAGUCUCCAUAUUCUCAAUUGUUUAUUGAGAAUAAAACAAUAUUUUGUAACAACUGUUAUCAUGUAAACUGCUGCACAUGUGUUAUUUGUUGUUUUUAAAAAUAAAAGAAUAAAGACUUCUUUUCUUCUUAUAUUGUUGCUUAAUUUUUGGGGAAGAGUAGUGUUGUGGUUUCCAUAUAUUUAAGCCACUACAUUGGUGAUCACCUGUUACAACAACAAUAGGGAACUAACACAGUGACAGAUGCUAUCUUCGUUCAGCUAGGCUGGAGCAUCUGCAAGUCUCUUUUUUUUUUUUUUUUUAAUGCCAGUGAACUUUUUCCAUCAUUACUGGUUUCCAAGUAACUCAGAGAAACGUUUUGAAGUAAAAAUCCCUGCACAUGAUUACCCACUCUGUAACCUCCUGGCUAUAUGACUUUAUGCUAGUCUUUUUCUAUUUUGCAGCUAAAUGUCUCUAAGCACAGAUAUACAUUUCUUGCCCUGUCACCAGGCUGGAAUGCAGCAGUACAAUCUCGGCUCACUGAAACCUCUGCCUCCUGGGUUCAAGCGAUUCUCCUGCCUCAACCUCCCAAGCAGCUGGGACUACAGGUACAUGCCACCACACCCAAGUAAUUUUUGUAU
Molecule: long non-coding RNA, 635 nt
Filed under: Pan troglodytes (chimpanzee)
Lineage: Eukaryota; Metazoa; Chordata; Mammalia; Primates; Hominidae
Description: long non-coding RNA NONPTRT014155
Source: RNAcentral